GGUGACCUGCGGAAGGAUCAUUACCAAGAGAAAUCUUUCAACACUGAAAGAUCUUUUCCUUUGUGCUGGCUUUGACCGUAUGUAAUUUUGGGACUUUAAAAUGGUUCGCAAGGGCCGGUCCCAAAAACAAUAUAUCAUCCUUAUGAAAUUUUUUCUGAACAAUUAAACAAAUGAUUUUAAUAAUCUGUUUAAAACAACUUUCAACAACGGAUCUCUUGGUUCUCGCAUCGAUGAAGAACGCAGCGAAAUGCGAUACGUAAUGUGAAUUGCAGAAUUCAGUGAAUCAUCGAAUCUUUGAACGCACAUUGCACUCCUUGGUAUUCCGAGGAGUAUGCCUGUUUCAGUAUCAUGAGCACUCUCACACCUAACCUUUGGGUUUAUGGCGUGGAAUUGGAAUGCGCCGACUGUCAUGGUUGGCCCUUCUAAAAUGUAGUUCUUGGCUGUCACCUAAUACAGCAGUUUGGCCUAAUAGUUUUGGCAUUCAUUGUCAAAUCUUUGGUUAACAUUUGCUCCAGGAGUCAGUCUUGAUAAUACAGAAAACUCAUUCAAAUUUUGAUCUGAAAUCAGGUAGGGCUACCCGCUGAACUUCAGCAUAUCAAUAAGCGGAGGAAAAGAAACUAACAAGGAUUCCCCUAGUAACGGCGAGUGAAGCGGGAAGAGCUCAAAUUUAAAAUCUGGUUUGCUUUGCAAAUCCGAGUUGUAGUCUGAAGAAACGUUUUCCAUGAAAGCUGAGGCACAAGUCUUUUGGAACAGGCAUCAUAGAGGUGAGAAUCCCGUCCAUGGUCUCAAGCUUUCAUUUUGUGAUACGUUUUCUAA
This 816-nucleotide ribosomal RNA is filed under the name uncultured fungus. Its description in RNAcentral is "eukaryotic LSU rRNA". The stretch from base 554 to 816 matches the Rfam family "Eukaryotic large subunit ribosomal RNA", at positions 1 to 261 of the family's 3401-position model. The record is from RNAcentral. Lineage: Eukaryota; Fungi.